This 228-nucleotide ribosomal RNA is filed under the name uncultured bacterium. RNAcentral's name for it is "partial 16S ribosomal RNA". It matches the Rfam family "Bacterial small subunit ribosomal RNA", at positions 524 to 751 of the family's 1533-position model. The record is from RNAcentral.
UACGUAGGGUGCAAGCGUUAAUCGGAAUUACUGGGCGUAAAGCGUGCGCAGGCGGUUGUGCAAGACAGAUGUGAAAUCCCCGGGCUCAACCUGGGAAUUGCAUUUGUGACUGCACGGCUAGAGUGUGUCAGAGGGGGGUAGAAUUCCACGUGUAGCAGUGAAAUGCGUAGAGAUGUGGAGGAAUACCGAUGGCGAAGGCAGCCCCCUGGGAUAACACUGACGCUCAUG